GCCGAGCUCGUCAGAUUCCCACCAUGGCCUGGGCCCCUCUGCUCCUCACGCUGCUCACUUACUGCUCAGGUUCUCUCGCCCAGUACGUGCUGACCCAGCCGCCUACAGUGUCUGUGUCUCCAGGGCAAAAUGCUCAACUCACCUGCUCAGGGAGCAGCGUUGGGAACUACUAUGUGCAGUGGUUCCAGCAGAAACCGGGCCGCGCGCCCCUACAGCUUAUCUAUCAAAAUAACAAGACACCCUCCGGAAUCCCUGAUCGAUUCUCUGGGUCCAACUCCGGGAACACAGCCACGUUAACCAUCAUUGGAGUCCAGGCACACGACGAGGCUGAUUAUUACUGUCAGGUGUGGCACAGCAGCAGUUCUUAG
Molecule: non-coding RNA, 368 nt
Organism: Gopherus evgoodei (Goodes thornscrub tortoise)
Lineage: Eukaryota; Metazoa; Chordata; Testudines; Testudinidae
Source: the annotation of a RefSeq genome assembly